UGGGACAGACCCCUGCCUGAACCUUUUGGAUGCAGAGAAACAAUCGCUGCAUCCAUUAGGGUUUUUGAGCAGCCUUCUUUGCUCCUUAAACUGCAAGAGUAUUAUUAUACCUGAAUUGCCUUGGUUUCCUGAAAAAACACAUCCAGAUCAUUCAGAAGCUGAAGUGGCACCAGUAAUAUCCUCCAACCCUGUUCUGUGGAGAAAGAUUCAUGGACUGCCUAUUUGCUUGCCUCAUCCCAUUAACUCCCUAACUGUCCAG
Molecule: long non-coding RNA, 259 nt
Filed under: Coturnix japonica (Japanese quail)
Lineage: Eukaryota; Metazoa; Chordata; Aves; Galliformes; Phasianidae
Description: lncRNA (ENSCJPG00005013897.1)
Source: RNAcentral